ACAUGCAAGUCGAGCGGUAGAGAGAAGCUUGCUUCUCUUGAGAGCGGCGGACGGGUGAGUAAUGCCUAGGAAUCUGCCUNGUGGUGGGGGAUAACGUUCGGAAACGGACGCUAAUACCGCAUACGUCCUACGGGAGAAAGCGGGGGACCUUCGGGCCUCGCGCCAUUAGAUGAGCCUAGGUCGGAUUAGCUAGUUGGUGAGGUAAUGGCUCACCAAGGCGACGAUCCGUAACUGGUCUGAGAGGAUGAUCAGUCACACUGGAACUGAGACACGGUCCAGACUCCUACGGGAGGCAGCAGUGGGGAAUAUUGGACAAUGGGCGAAAGCCUGAUCCAGCCAUGCCGCGUGUGUGAAGAAGGUCUUCGGAUUGUAAAGCACUUUAAGUUGGGAGGAAGGGUAGUAACUUAAUACGUUGCUNCUUUGACGUUACCGACAGAAUAAGCACCGGCUAACUUCGUGCCAGCAGCCGCGGUAAUACNAAGGGUGCAAGCGUUAAUCGGAAUUACUGGGCGUAAAGCGCGCGUAGGUGGUUC
This 533-nucleotide ribosomal RNA is filed under the name unidentified microorganism. RNAcentral describes it as "bacterial SSU rRNA". It matches the Rfam family "Bacterial small subunit ribosomal RNA", at positions 53 to 581 of the family's 1533-position model. The record is from RNAcentral.